AAGGCAGCUUCCAAUAUCUGCUGAGAAGUUUCGGGACCUGUAGCAUUUAAAAAAGUUUUGCAACAAAGCAGCGCAAGAUUUUUUUUCAAACCUGCCGCAUCACUAAUUAACGAAUUGGAAUAUUGUUUGGAGCCUUUCGUACUAACGACGAUCGAGGUUAUGAUUACUGUGAAAGAACAGGCUCAUUUCAAUAAAAUGGAUCCCUUCUUCCCCUGUCACUUUUGUACCUGUAUGUGAUUUUAUUUUUUUUUUGCACUGAACGGAAAUACAAACAGUCUCAAAACA
Molecule: long non-coding RNA, 285 nt
Organism: Anthonomus grandis grandis
Lineage: Eukaryota; Metazoa; Arthropoda; Insecta; Coleoptera; Curculionidae
Exons: 2
Source: RefSeq, a predicted model, not a curated record